Molecule: ribosomal RNA, 779 nt
Filed under: uncultured bacterium
Lineage: Bacteria
Description: bacterial SSU rRNA
Rfam family: Bacterial small subunit ribosomal RNA
Source: RNAcentral
AGAGUUUGAUCCUGGCUCAGGACGAACGCUGGCGGCGUGCUUAACACAUGCAAGUCGAGCGGGGUCCAACCUGUGGCAACACAGGGGAAGACCUAGCGGCGAACGGGUGAGUAACACGUGAGCAACCUGCCCCGAAGACUGGGAUAACACCGGGAAACCGGUGCUAAUACCGGAUACCCUCUCUGAGUCGCAUGGCUCGGAGAGGAAAUGGAUUCCGCUUCGGGAGGGGCUCGCGGCCUAUCAGCUUGUUGGUGGGGUAACGGCCUACCAAGGCUCCGACGGGUAGCUGGUCUGAGAGGACGACCAGCCACACUGGGACUGAGACACGGCCCAGACUCCUACGGGAGGCAGCAGUGGGGAAUCUUGCGCAAUGGGCGAAAGCCUGACGCAGCAACGCCGCGUGGGGGACGAAGGCCUUCGGGUUGUAAACCCCUUUCAGCAGGGACGAACAUGACGGUACCUGCAGAAGAAGCCCCGGCCAACUACGUGCCAGCAGCCGCGGUAAUACGUAGGGGGCGAGCGUUGUCCGGAUUUAUUGGGCGUAAAGAGCUCGUAGGCGGUUUGGCAAGUCGGGUGUGAAAACUCCGGGCUCAACUCGGAGACGCCACUCGAUACUGCUAUGACUCGAGUCCGGUAGGGGAGUGCGGAAUUCCUGGUGUAGCGGUGAAAUGCGCAGAUAUCAGGAGGAACACCGGUGGCGAAGGCGGCACUCUGGGCCGGUACUGACGCUGAGGAGCGAAAGCGUGGGGAGCGAACAGGAUUAGAUACCCUGGUAGUCC